GGGGAAUAUUGGACAAUGGGCGCAAGCCUGAUCCAGCAAUGCCGCGUGAGUGAUGAAGGCCUUAGGGUUGUAAAGCUCUUUCGCACGCGACGAUAAUGACGGUAGCGUGAGAAGAAGCCCCGGCUAACUUCGUGCCAGCAGCCGCGGUAAUACGAAGGGGGCUAGCGUUGUUCGGAAUUACUGGGCGUAAAGGGCGCGUAGGCGGCUUUUCAAGUCAGGCGUGAAAUCCCCGGGCUUAACCUGGGAACUGCGCUUGAGACUGGAAGGCUUGAGUUCGGGAGAGGUGAGUGGAAUUCCCAGUGUAGAGGUGAAAUUCGUAGAUAUUGGGAAGAACACCAGCGGCGAAGGCGGCUCACUGGACCGAUACUGACGCUGAGGCGCGAAAGCGUGGGGAGCAAAC
RNAcentral lists this ribosomal RNA (400 nucleotides) under uncultured bacterium. Its description in RNAcentral is "bacterial SSU rRNA". It matches the Rfam family "Bacterial small subunit ribosomal RNA", at positions 356 to 773 of the family's 1533-position model. The record is from RNAcentral.